UAUUGGUCAAUGUACGAGAGUCUGAACCAGCCAAGUACCGCGAAGGAUGACUGCCCUAUGGGUUGUAAACUUCUUUUAUACGGGAAUAAAGUGAGGCACGUGUGCCUUUUUGUAUGUACCGUAUGAAUAAGGAUAGGCUCACUUCGUUCCAGCCGCCGCGGUAAUACGGAGGAUCCGAGCGUUAUCCGGAUUUAUUGGGUUUAAAGGGAGCGUAGGCGGACGCUUAAGUCAGUUGUGGAAGUUUGCGGCUCAACCGUAAAAUUGCAGCUGAUACUGGGUGUCUUGAGUACAGUAGAGGCAGGCGGAAUUCGUGGUGUAGCGGUGAAAUGCUUAGAUAUCACGAAGAACUCCGAUUGCGAAGGCAGCCUGCUGGACUGUAACUGACGCUGAUGCUCGAAAGUGUGGGUAUCAAACAGG
This 417-nucleotide ribosomal RNA is filed under the name uncultured bacterium. RNAcentral describes it as "bacterial SSU rRNA". It matches the Rfam family "Bacterial small subunit ribosomal RNA", at positions 362 to 776 of the family's 1533-position model. The record is from RNAcentral.